GUUCCUUCUUUUAAACACAACUUGAUUUCUGUCCACAAGUUAGUGAAGCAGUUGCAUUGUAUAGUUAUGUUCACUGAACAUUCCUGCUUACUACACAUAAUACAGGACCCUUCUCUGAGGAGGCCUCUGGAUCUUGGUAGAGAAGCUGCUGGAACUGGCUUGGGUUCCUCCUUUCCCUUCUCCCUCUGUUAGUUGUUACUCUACUUCUGUUUGUACUGUAUCUGCUUCUUGUAAUGAUAGCAAGGUUGUUACAUUGCCUUCUGUGUCUGUUUCUUGUAAUGAUGACAUUUUGUCUGAUAAUAAGGCUGUUCCAUUACCUUCACAUGUAAAUAGUUCCAUCUGUAAUAAUGAUUUUAUAUCUGACAUGAAUUACAUUUGGCACUUAAGACUUGCUCAUACUCCUUUUGCAAAUAUGAAAUGUAUUUCUGGUCUGUCUUUUCCAUUUGCUUCCAGAUCUUACAUCUGACAUGAAUUACAUUUUGCACUUAAGACUUGCUCAUACUCCUUUGCAAAUAUGAAAUGUAUUUCUGGUCUGUCUUUUCCAUUUGCUUCCACACAACCUUUUCCAUGUUUAGUCUGUCCUAUGGCCAGACAGACUAGGCUUCCAUUUCCUGAU
This 616-nucleotide long non-coding RNA is filed under the name Nicotiana benthamiana. Its description in RNAcentral is "long non-coding RNA (NBEN_LNC035621)". The record is from RNAcentral. Lineage: Eukaryota; Viridiplantae; Streptophyta; Magnoliopsida; Solanales; Solanaceae.